CCUACGGGUGGCAGCAGUGGGGGAUAUUGCACAAUGGGGGGAACCCUGAUGCAGCGACGCCGCGUGGGUGAAGGAGCGUUUCGGCGCGUAAAGCCCUAUCGGCAGGGAAGAAGGAGGACGGUACCUGACUAAGAAGCCCCGGCUAACUACGUGCCAGCAGCCGCGGUAAUACGUAGGGGGCAAGCGUUAUCCGGAUUUAUUGGGUGUAAAGGGUGCGUAGACGGAGAAGCAAGUUAGUUGUGAAAUCCCUCGGCUUAACUGAGGAACUGCAACUAAAACUACUUCCCUUGAGUACUGGAGAGGAAAGUGGAAUUCCUAGUGUAGCGGUGAAAUGCGUAGAUAUUAGGAGGAACACCAGUGGCGAAGGCGACUUUCUGGACAGUAACUGACGUUGAGGCACGAAAGUGUGGGGAGCAAACAGGAUUAGAUACCCGAGUAGUC
RNAcentral lists this ribosomal RNA (441 nucleotides) under uncultured bacterium. Its description in RNAcentral is "partial 16S ribosomal RNA". It matches the Rfam family "Bacterial small subunit ribosomal RNA", at positions 338 to 795 of the family's 1533-position model. The record is from RNAcentral.